Molecule: ribosomal RNA, 839 nt
Filed under: Escherichia coli
Lineage: Bacteria; Pseudomonadati; Pseudomonadota; Gammaproteobacteria; Enterobacterales; Enterobacteriaceae
Description: partial 23S ribosomal RNA
Rfam family: Bacterial large subunit ribosomal RNA
Source: RNAcentral
CAGUGAAAUUGAACUCGCUGUGAAGAUGCAGUGUACCCGCGGCAAGACGGAAAGACCCCGUGAACCUUUACUAUAGCUUGACACUGAACAUUGAGCCUUGAUGUGUAGGAUAGGUGGGAGGCUUUGAAGUGUGGACGCCAGUCUGCAUGGAGCCGACCUUGAAAUACCACCCUUUAAUGUUUGAUGUUCUAACGUUGACCCGUAAUCCGGGUUGCGGACAGUGUCUGGUGGGUAGUUUGACUGGGGCGGUCUCCUCCUAAAGAGUAACGGAGGAGCACGAAGGUUGGCUAAUCCUGGUCGGACAUCAGGAGGUUAGUGCAAUGGCAUAAGCCAGCUUGACUGCGAGCGUGACGGCGCGAGCAGGUGCGAAAGCAGGUCAUAGUGAUCCGGUGGUUCUGAAUGGAAGGGCCAUCGCUCAACGGAUAAAAGGUACUCCGGGGAUAACAGGCUGAUACCGCCCAAGAGUUCAUAUCGACGGCGGUGUUUGGCACCUCGAUGUCGGCUCAUCACAUCCUGGGGCUGAAGUAGGUCCCAAGGGUAUGGCUGUUCGCCAUUUAAAGUGGUACGCGAGCUGGGUUUAGAACGUCGUGAGACAGUUCGGUCCCUAUCUGCCGUGGGCGCUGGAGAACUGAGGGGGGCUGCUCCUAGUACGAGAGGACCGGAGUGGACGCAUCACUGGUGUUCGGGUUGUCAUGCCAAUGGCACUGCCCGGUAGCUAAAUGCGGAAGAGAUAAGUGCUGAAAGCAUCUAAGCACGAAACUUGCCCCGAGAUGAGUUCUCCCUGACUCCUUGAGAGUCCUGAAGGAACGUUGAAGACGACGACGUUGAUAGGCCGGGUG